Molecule: long non-coding RNA, 2468 nt
Filed under: Sus scrofa (pig)
Lineage: Eukaryota; Metazoa; Chordata; Mammalia; Artiodactyla; Suidae
Description: lncRNA (ENSSSCG00005001837.1)
Source: RNAcentral
GUCUCCUGAGCAGACGGGCGAGGCUGAGUGUGGGGACGCACAGGGUGACCGGUAGAUCACAAGCUGUGUCCCUAAGCCACUUUUUGUCCCCAGUGGCCGAAGGUUAGGAUGUGGGCUGAUGUCUGGCGCGUGGGAACAAGGCUGAGGUCACGGUGGAAUUCAGGUCCUUUUCACGCUGUUGGGUGACGUGUCCUAUUUGGAGAACAUGACCUGGUGGGACCUUUGGGACCGCCCACGAGUAACCCCUCGAGGAGCGUGGGCUCAGGUAUCCAAUCCAGGUGCGUCUUCCAUUCCCCUGCACCCGGGGAUUUGAAAGGCCAUUGCCUCCUGUUUUCUCCUGCAGUCACUAAACCUAAGGCCCUGCGACAGGGUCCCCCAGCGACGUUUAUGGUAAUUCACCACUGUACCAAGACGGCGUCCUGGGAAGCCUCUGGGUCAGACCGUGCCGGCCAAGUCCCGUGCAUUUUCCUGCCAUUUUUCAUUGACCAGCGUUUUCCUGCCUCCGGUGGCAUGUUUUUUCAUCACUGAACAUAUUUAGAAAUGACCUUCAAGGUGUGCUUCGAGCUGCCUGCUCGGCACCCCGCGCCAGCGCCUUUCAAAAUAAAUCCCAGUAUCGCGGACACCGGCGUGAGCGGGCAUCUGUUCCUAAGCCACACUGGGAGUUUCUCCGUCUGAGCCCAGAUUCCACACCCCUGACAUCCUGUCCUUGGCAGCCAGGUGCCAGGACUUUGACCCGUCGCGGUUCCUCAGCAGCAGGUGGUUUUGAAAGCAGGAUUUUCACCCUCCUUCCCCACAACGCGGCCUCUGCCUACGUCCAUCCUGCGGUCCCACCAGCGGGGCAGCCUCUGUGAAGGUGGAUGAAUUUCCCAAACCAGGACACAGCCCAGGGCUAAGUUCCUGCCUGGCGGCUGCCUCACCCCAGCAGAUGCCAGCCACUUGGGCACCAAACCACGCGAGGUGCUUUCAGGAUGCACAACUCAUUUUUGCAACACGUGCCAUUCACACCGGCAGGGGUUCUCUGUGGGCUUGCUCUGAGAUCCUUAUUUUAUUAAUUUUUUUAUUGAAACGUAGUUGAUUUACAAUGUUGUGCUAGUUUCGGGUGUACAGCAAAGUGAUUCAGUUAUAAAUUAUCUAUCUCUCUAUCUCUCUAUGUAUCUACCCAUCCAUCUAUGUAUCUAUGUAUCUAUUUAUCAUCUGUGUAUCUAUGUAUCCAUCUAUCUAGGUCUCUGUUUAUGUCUCCGUCUAUCUAUCAUCUGUCUGUGUAUCAAUCUAUGUAUCUAUGUAUCUGUGUAGCUGUCUGUCUAUCAUCUCUGUAUGUAUCUUUGUAUCUAUGUAUCUCAUAUAUCUAUGUAUCUAUCUAUAUUUAUAUGUGUGUGUAUGUUUGUAUCUAUAUGUAUACACACACAUAUCACAAGUUUGUUUUCUGUGUCUAAGAGUCUCUUUCUGUUUUGUGUGUCAGUUCAUUUAAGGAAUUCUCUGGUGACCUAGCAGUUAAGGAUUCAGCGUGGUCAGUGGUUCGAUCUCUGGCCUGGAAAUCUCUAUAUGCUAUGGGCGUGGCCAAAAAAUAAGUUCAUUGGUGCCAUAUUUUAGAUUCCACAUGGCAGUGAUAUCAUAAUGGUGUUUGUCUCUGUCUGAUUGACUUCACUUAGUAUGAGAAUCUCUAGGUCCAUCCAUGUUGCUGUAUGUUCUUUUUUACGGCUGAGUAGUAUUCCGUUGUGUAUAUGGACCACAUCUUCUUUAUCUGUUCCUUUGUCGAUGGACAUUUAGGUUCUUUCCAUGUCUUGGCUGUUGUGCUGCAGUGAACAUAGAGGUGCAUGGAUCUUCUCAAGCCAUGGUUUUCUCUGGAUAGAUGCCCAGGCGUGGGAUGCUGGGUCCUAGGGUCGUUCUAUGUUUAGUUGUUGAAGGACCCUCCAUCCUACUGAGGUCCUGAUUUUAACUUGGAGAUUGGCUUUGCGAAUCUGGCCAGCUGGAUUUUCUCUUCAUGUCUCCUCACGUCACUGAGAGCUUCCCUGUGUAGAGGUUCAUUGGAUUAGAAACAGGGUCAAGAUAAGGACACACCUGUUAUGAACUGGACAUGUACGUCUCAGCGCCCCCCCCCCCCCCCCCCCCGGGGCCCUGACUCCAAACAGGUGGUAGGAGGUGGGGCUUUGGGGAGGUGAUGAGAUUUGGAUGAGGUUAGAAGGAUGAGGCCCUGUUGAUGGGACUCGUGUCCCUCUAAGAAAAGGAACAGGAGUUCCUCUUGUGGUUCAGCGGGUUAAGCAUCUGACUAGUAUCCAUGAGGACGCAGGUUCGAUCCUUGGCCUUGCUCAGUGGGUUAAGUAUCCGGCGUUGCCAUUAGCUGUGGUGUAGGUUGCAGAUGUGGCUCAGAUCCUGCGUUGCUGUGGCUGUGGUGUAGACCGGCGGCUACAGCUCUGAUUUGACCCCUAGCCUGGGUACCUCCAGAUGCCACAGGAGUGGCCCAAGAAAUG